This 535-nucleotide ribosomal RNA is filed under the name Amanita fulvoalba. Its description in RNAcentral is "partial 28S large subunit ribosomal RNA". It matches the Rfam family "Eukaryotic large subunit ribosomal RNA", at positions 82 to 617 of the family's 3401-position model. The record is from RNAcentral. Lineage: Eukaryota; Fungi; Basidiomycota; Agaricomycetes; Agaricales; Amanitaceae.
AGUAACUGCGAGUGAAGCGGGAAAAGCUCAAAUUUAAAAUCUGGCGGCAGAUGGUCGUCCGAAUUGUAACCUCGAGAAGUGAAGCCCGCACUGGACCAUGUACAAGUCUCCUGGGAUGGAGCGUCAGAGAGGGUGAGAAUCCCGUGCGUGGCAUGGAGCACCAGUGCAGUGUGGUUCGCUCUCAAAGAGUUGAGUUGUUUGGGAAUGCAGCUCGAAAUGGGUGGUAAAUUCCAUCUAAAGCUAAAUAUUGGCGAGAGACCGAUAGCGAACAAGUACCGUGAGGGAAAGAUGAAAAGAACUUUGGAAAGAGAGUUAAAUAGUACGUGAAAUUGUUGAAAGGGAAACGCUUGAAGUCAGUCGCGUUGGUCGGGGAUCAGUCCUGCAGUUAUGCUGGAUGGAAUUCCUGGUCGAUGGGUCAUCAUGAGUUUUGAGCACUGGAGAAAGGCUUGGGGAAUGUGACACCUGUGGGUGUGUUAUAGCUCCAAGUCGUAUACAGUGGUUGAGACUGAGGAAAGCAACGCGCCUUUUGGCAGGG